This is a long non-coding RNA of Acyrthosiphon pisum (pea aphid), 1042 nucleotides long. RefSeq lists it as uncharacterized. The transcript has 3 exons. The record is from RefSeq and is a predicted model, not a curated record. NCBI's taxonomy places the organism in Eukaryota, Metazoa, Arthropoda, Insecta, Hemiptera, Aphididae.
CAACAUUUUUUUGUUUAUUUUGAAAGUCUAAUACAUAUUCAAAUAUCAAUUGGAAUUACUAACAUUAGAAAUGUCAAUAGAAAAUUAAUCACAAAUUGUUCUACCUUUAACAAAAAAAGGUUAACUAUAAGGUUACGCUAUUUAUAGCCAUGAGAUAUUUUUUUUAUCAUUUUUUUUUUCAUUUAUUAAAUAUGAUAUUCAAUUUAAUAUGCUAGGAUUACAAAAUUUCUCCCCUCAGAAUAAUUGUUCGUAUAGAUCGAAUGGUGUAUCAUUGAAUUCAAAUUUAACACCACUACUUGUAACCUACUGCACAGCAGAGUAAGUUAAACUGGACAGUUUCAAAAAUUUCAUAACUUAACACUAAUAAUAUCAAUACAACCCUACGUGGGGCUCUAGAUAAUAAUCUUUUCUUUAAAUUUUAUUAUAGGGCAAUUCACUCUAUAAUAUCAAAACUAACAGCACACUAUUGAAUCUGGCGAAUGAAAAUUUGCUAUAUCGUACGUAUGUAAGACGGUGAGUCGGUGACCACACAUGUGGGUGUGACGUCAUCUUAAAAAAGUUGCAUACAUCGUGGCUAAAGACGUAAAGAAAGUUGACGACGAUGGGUUAUCGGACACUACUGCAUGUGAAGAUCAAAUUACUGGUGCCCGUUCCUGCACCUGGGACCAUCGAGGUUUGCGCUGCGUACGACGCGGGUCAGUCACACCCAACUAGUCUGAAGUUGCCAUCAGUCCAACGACUUCAGUCCGCGAAGUAGUCCCGCUGUUCAUGCAGCCGCUGAAAAUGUCCGUGGUGGUCAAGGGCAAGACUGGUCCAGUACACUCGAGCACCGAAUUCGGGAACAUUUGUCUGAUAUCUGUUACCGGGGCCCGGUAUCGUUGUUUGUGCGAUGACUUCAAACAGGACGUGCUAGCUGCUUUGAGCUCCACUCGUCCAUACUGAUAGUAGCAGCCACCAAACACCACUGAUGACCACCAAAAUUAAAUUAUAUUAUUAUUGUAUAUUAUUUUUAUAAUUUAACGAUUUAGAGUAUAUAACAUGC